RNAcentral lists this ribosomal RNA (474 nucleotides) under uncultured bacterium. RNAcentral describes it as "bacterial SSU rRNA". It matches the Rfam family "Bacterial small subunit ribosomal RNA", at positions 328 to 793 of the family's 1533-position model. The record is from RNAcentral.
UCAGUCGACUCCUACGGGGAGGCAGCAGUGGGGAAUAUUGCACAAUGGGGAAACCCUGAUGCAGCCAUGCCGCGUGUGUGAAGAAGGCCUUCGGGUUGUAAAGCACUUUCAGUAGGGAGGAAGGUAGUGUAGUUAACACCUGCAUUAUUUGACGUUACCUACAGAAGAAGCACCGGCUAACUCCGUGCCAGCAGCCGCGGUAAUACGGAGGGUGCGAGCGUUAAUCGGAAUUACUGGGCGUAAAGCGCAUGCAGGCGGCCUGUUAAGUCAGAUGUGAAAGCCCGGGGCUUAACCUCGGAAUUGCAUUUGAAACUGGCAGGCUAGAGUCUUGUAGAGGGGGGUAGGAAUUUCAGGUGUAGCGGUGAAAUGCGUAGAGAUCUGAAGGAAUACCAGUGGCGAAGGCGGCCCCCUGGACAAAGACUGACGCUCAGAUGCGAAAGCGUGGGGAGCAAACAGGAUUAGAUACCCUGGUAG